Molecule: ribosomal RNA, 400 nt
Filed under: uncultured cyanobacterium
Lineage: Bacteria; Bacillati; Cyanobacteriota
Description: bacterial SSU rRNA
Rfam family: Bacterial small subunit ribosomal RNA
Source: RNAcentral
AAUGGGCGAAAGCCUGACGGAGCAAUACCGCGUGAGGGACGAAGGUCUGUGGAUUGUAAACCUCUUUUGUUGGGGAAGAUAAUGACGGUACCCAACGAAUAAGCAUCGGCUAACUCCGUGCCAGCAGCCGCGGUAAGACGGAGGAUGCAAGCGUUAUCCGGAAUUAUUGGGCGUAAAGCGUACGUAGGCUGUUUCAUAAGUCUGUUGUCAAAGCGCGAGGCUCAACCUUGUAAAGGCAAUGGAAACUGCGAGACUAGAGAGAGAUAGGGGCAGGAGGAAUUCCAGGUGUAGCGGUGAAAUGCGUAGAUAUCUGGAAGAACACCAGUGGCGAAAGCGUCCUGCUGGAUCUCAACUGACGCUGAAGUACGAAAGCUAGGGGAGCGAAUGGGAUUAGAUACCC